GACAGAGGUGGCAAGCGUUGUUCGGAAUUACUGGGCUUAAAGGGCGCGUAGGCGGUGGGACAAGUCUGAGGUGGAAUUCUAGAGCUUAACUGUAGGAUUGCCUUGGAAACUGUUUCACUUGAGUCGGACAGGGGAAGGCGGAAUUCCUGGUGUAGCGGUGAAAUGCGUAGAUAUCAGGAGGAAGGCCUGUGGCGAAGGCGGCCUUCUGGGUCUUGACUGACGCUGAGGCGCGAAAGCGUGGGGAGCAAACAGG
RNAcentral lists this ribosomal RNA (253 nucleotides) under uncultured bacterium. Its description in RNAcentral is "partial 16S ribosomal RNA". It matches the Rfam family "Bacterial small subunit ribosomal RNA", at positions 524 to 776 of the family's 1533-position model. The record is from RNAcentral.